UACGUAGGGGGCAAGCGUUAUCCGGAUUUACUGGGUGUAAAGGGAGCGUAGACGGCAGAGCAAGUCUGAAGUGAAAGCCCGCGGCUCAACUGCGGAACUGCUCUGGAAACUGUGAAGCUGGAGUGCAGGAGAGGUAAGCGGAAUUCCUGGUGUAGCGGUGAAAUGCGUAGAUAUCAGGAGGAACACCGGCGGCGAAGGCGGCUUACUGGACUGUAACUGACGUUGAGGCUCGAAGGCGUGGGGAGCAAACAGG
Molecule: ribosomal RNA, 253 nt
Filed under: uncultured Eubacteriales bacterium
Lineage: Bacteria; Bacillati; Bacillota; Clostridia; Eubacteriales
Description: uncultured Clostridiales bacterium partial 16S ribosomal RNA
Rfam family: Bacterial small subunit ribosomal RNA
Source: RNAcentral